This 592-nucleotide ribosomal RNA is filed under the name uncultured bacterium. Its description in RNAcentral is "bacterial SSU rRNA". It matches the Rfam family "Bacterial small subunit ribosomal RNA", at positions 7 to 594 of the family's 1533-position model. The record is from RNAcentral.
GAGAGUUUGAUCCUGGCUCAGAUUGAACGCUGGCGGCAGGCCUAACACAUGCAAGUCGAGCGGUAGAGAGAAGCUUGCUUCUCUUGAGAGCGGCGGACGGGUGAGUAAUGCCUAGGAAUCUGCCUGGUAGUGGGGGAUAACGUUCGGAAACGGACGCUAAUACCGCAUACGUCCUACGGGAGAAAGCAGGGGACCUUCGGGCCUUGCGCUAUCAGAUGAGCCUAGGUCGGAUUAGCUAGUUGGUGGGGUAAUGGCUCACCAAGGCGACGAUCCGUAACUGGUCUGAGAGGAUGAUCAGUCACACUGGAACUGAGACACGGUCCAGACUCCUACGGGAGGCAGCAGUGGGGAAUAUUGGACAAUGGGCGAAAGCCUGAUCCAGCCAUGCCGCGUGUGUGAAGAAGGUCUUCGGAUUGUAAAGCACUUUAAGUUGGGAGGAAGGGCAGUAAAUUAAUACUUUGCUGUUUUGACGUUACCGACAGAAUAAGCACCGGCUAACUCUGUGCCAGCAGCCGCGGUAAUACAGAGGGUGCAAGCGUUAAUCGGAAUUACUGGGCGUAAAGCGCGCGUAGGUGGUUCGUUAAGUUGGAUG